AUACCGCCAUGCUGGAUGAGGGCAGAGGCCCCCGGGCUAGAAGGUGCUUGAAAGUUAAGGUCAUCUUAUUCCCUCUUUCCCAGAACAUAAGACCUAGCUGGAAAAUAAUAAGCCUUGAAAACCAGAGAUCAAAAAUGCCAGCCCCAAUCAGUCCAUCUUGGCCUUAUCUGCUACCACUGUUCUCAUGCUCGGUGGCUACUCUGUAAGGUAAAUUUCACCAAGGACUUCAAAAGCAAAUGAAGGAUUCUUUUAAAUGCUGGAGACUGAACUGAAAGCCUUGAGAAUUCCAGGUAAGUGCUCUACCUACUAAGGAAUACAGAGUGACAACCUCCGAAAACGUAAGGUUUUUACAAAGCCUGAAGAUGGUGUGUCGGGCUCACUGGCACAGCACGUGCCCGCCAUGCUCAAGGCCCUAAGCUCAAUGCCCACCACUAUAAAAUAAAUAAGUAAAUACAGACGGCAAUCAACAGAAAAACAAAGCUGCAAAUCUAGAUCUAAUGGGAAACAGAGGUCAGUUUUCUUAUAAAAAAAUGAAUUAUUCAACCCUUGGCACGCGUGUGUGCGCACACACACACACAAAAUUUUAGCAAACUUCUUUGCUGAUAGUGGAAGCAGUAAGAUAUAUCCGUUAUUUUUAUUCUAAUUCAAUUUUGUAUUUCUGCUGAAAUACGUGAUUCUAACAUGACUUCAGAUAAUUUUUUAGUCCUUUCAGACCUCUUUUAAAGUCUCCGUUUAGCCAUUUUGUGAGAUAUUAUUUUCAGAAAAAGUAAAACACAGAGGACUAAUUAUUGUUUGAUUUGUGCUUAAUUUCUACACUCAGAUUUUGAAGAUGACAGGGGAAAUGCAUAUUUAACAUUUACAUUUCAGAACAGCACUUGCUAACACAGGAGUAGUGUAUGCUGCCAUGAGGCCCAUUACUUACAACACUAACAACAUUCAACAAAAUAAAUAAUCAACUUAAAAACUUUCACACUUGGAGCCUCUACUGGAAGGACUAUGAACACAACAAAGUAGAAAAUAGUUUUUAUUUCAAAACUGCCUAAAGCUUCUUACAUCUUCCGAUUUACUCCAGCAUUUUUAAGCUAGAAGAUCUAUCAACGUUUUCAGUCAAUCUACUUUCAGGAAUGUAAACUUAAUCAAUGUCCCUCAGAAAAAUUUGCCAGACAUACACUGAGCUCUUCUGAAAAGUACCACUGGUACCACUUUAACCUCCUUUAAUAGCUUAACCUUUGGAACUUGUCUCUUUGAGUCAGAAAAUUAUGACUGACCUCUCAAUUUGUUAUCUCUGAUACUUUUUGUUCAGAUGCUUUACUUAUGAAAUUACUAUAAAUAAACCAAACAGAUAGUACCCUCAUCAAAUUUAUCAUUUUUAAGAAUUUUGUGAUGGAGUCCCCUGGACUAUUUAAUAUUGGUUUUCCAUCAUCCCUUUCUCAUUGGCUAAUGUAUUUUUCCCUUUCUUACAACAGGAAGUGAAAUGGAACUGAUCUAGUUGCCACUUCCUGCCUGUUACCGGUCUGCAUGCCAGUGUGUCUGAGGUGGUGCCUGGCUUUUGUCCUAAGCUUUCCGUUUUGUUUAUACUGGCACUCCAUAAUUACUUUGAACCUUAAAGCCGAACAGAUAAUAUUCUGAAUCACUAAUCUGCCAUGAAGACACAUGAAAAAGACUAAGUGACCUGUUUCAGUGCAGUGCUGGCUUGCGACCCUUCCAACUGGUACCGCGCUGCUUUUGCAACACUCUUUAUGGCUUUGCAGCUAUUCUUCCUUCUUUUCAUUUCCCUCUAAAAGAACUGCAUAUACUUCUGGUGCUUGGAACUGUAGAACAAAUGUAUUUCAGCUGGUAACAAUCAUACAGUCAAGCAGCACAUAACAUUACAAAGGGUUUUAAUAAUCUCAAGUAAGUCUGUUCACAGGGACUAUCUAUUAGUGAAGUCACUCCAAGCAGGCCAUUAGUCACUGAUAUUAUAAUCAACAGCCACACUUAUAGGCACUGCUAACAAAGGAAGCUCAACAUAACAUUUCUCAAAGGAAUUAAGACAGGCCAGGUCUCAGAAUAGCUCAGCCACAGCUAGUACUGGGCUCACAAUGAAACACAACACAGUGGGAUUGCUGAUGGCUUGAAGCUUCCUUGUAAUUCUGGUGACUACAAAUCAAGCAUUUAACAAUGUGAACAACUAAGUGAAGGAAUGCACGAAGCCACAAAUAAAUAUACUGCUAAACCAAACAAGGACCCCGGUGAAUGCAAGCAGAUGGCCCACUGGACUUGGCGUCUCCUUAUCUGAAUGUAAUACCUAGCAACCUGCAAUCCUGUCACUGUGUAGGUUUUAGUCUGGGAGGCCUGUUCCAUGAGAAGGUCUUAUGUGUGAAUAUUUUGCCUACAUUUGACCAGGGAGGAAGAGAUGCUUUGACUCAUGGGAGGAACAAAGGAAUGGUCAGCAGUUAUUUGGGUGUACUCCAUUCAGUGUUCUUUUGAAAAAGAUAAGCAUACAUUUAAUUAUAAUACCCUAGUCACUACACAUAAAGAGGAUAUACAUUGCAAAGUGGGAAAUACAAACAGGCACAGAUGGGUAAAUAUUGUUAAGGUAGCUCAUUUUAACACGCAGGACUGUCUAACCUGUCUGCCUACACACCAAAUGCCCUCCAGUGCACAGAGACUCAUAAUUAAACAACUCUGCAGCUGGGACUUGACUGUUCUGUGCUAUGGAAUUAUGACAGUGUUCACUGUGCUGGCAAAGAAAUGCCACACAAACUCCCUCCUUUGGUAGAGUGUUCCCUAUCACAUGACCUGCACAAGUCAUUCAAGAGGAAAACACAACUAUACACUUGGUUUGUAGGAGAUAUACUUUACGAUCAUCUUUUUUAAUUAGAUAGGAGAAACACUGUCAUUCAUAAUGACAGCCAGUGCUACAGGAAGCUAGACCUUGGGAGUCCUGAUAGACAUUCACUGGUCUGCUGAUGGUUGCCAUGCAUCUCUCCUAAUGGUGUUUUAAAAAGUUAACUAAUACCCCUGUGCCACAGAUAAAUACGUGCUUAUAAAAAGCCAACAGGACUGUUGUUGUUUCAGAGCCAAACUGUUGGGGAACCCCUGUGUGAGGCAGCCAGAAUCACAGCAGCAUAAUCUUGUCAGAUGCAGAAGCCGCAGACGCAGAGGGAUGAAUGUAACUGUAUCACGUAUUAUUAGCGUUUCCAGCAGCUCAGAGGGCUCCCUCACACUAAGUUACUUGAGUGAGAAGAUCUGGUUUGUCCUGCUCCUUCCAAAAACUGAGCUCUGUGUCUUUGAAUACAUUACUUGCCAUUGUUGCUUUAUUUUUUUCAUAAAAUAAAAUACAUUUCUAAGCAUUUCUUUCUCUAUAAAAGGAAAAUAAUAAUGCUUAUCUCAUCUCCUUCAGUUAUGAGAUAUAAUGAAAUAAAUGUAAAACUCCUUGAAAAGUAUACAAAAUAAAUUUAUUAUGCCUCUGGAGGGCUGACUGCAUAACAUGUGCCAGGAGUGUCAGCCACGCUACAUAUAUGAUCUUUGAUUCAAGCGGCUCAUGACAGUUUCAUAGCGGAAGACGGGAAAAGAAAAGGAAAGAGCUUGUCACUGUGAUUCGCCCAGGAAUCACUGCUGGCGCUGAGAUACCUGAAGAAGGACGAGUGAACCAGAGAGGAAGGGCCGACUAGGACCAGGCUGUAAAAGACAGGAGCAGUUCAAGGACAGCGGAGGAAGAGCCCGGCCAUCUGUAGAUGGGGGCUACGCUAUGGCUGAAGACCAUGGCAGGAGCAAGGCGAGGGCGGGAGGCAGGAGUCGGAGAAGAGUCCUCCGUAUGAUGACAUUUACUCCGCGGGGAAGGUGGGACUACUUAGCUAUUUAGGGGAGGAAAAGUCCAUGGUCACAAGAAGACUGCUUCGGUGGCCACCAGUGUCACCUCUGACACUCCAUAUUAUUAGGAUCUCUAUCUGGAUUAGCAAUGAGACUGGUGGCAGUGGCAAUGUCACCAGGGACCACGGGAAGAGCCACAUGCGAGAGGCACCCAGGAGACGGAAACAACAGGACCUGACUGACUGGAUGAGAUGCAGAAUAGUAAAACCCAUGGGCUUCGUU
Long non-coding RNA from Chinchilla lanigera (long-tailed chinchilla), 4077 nucleotides. RefSeq lists it as uncharacterized. The record is from RefSeq and is a predicted model, not a curated record. The transcript is spliced from 3 exons. Lineage: Eukaryota; Metazoa; Chordata; Mammalia; Rodentia; Chinchillidae.